AGGAUGAACGCUAGCUACAGGCUUAACACAUGCAAGUCAGGGGCAGCAUGUGUGCUGCACCAAUGAUGGCGACCGGCGCACGGGUGAGUAACGCGUAUCCAACUUCCCCAUAGUAGAGGAUAGCCCGGCGAAAAGUCGGAUUAAUACUCUAUGUUGUGUCAUGAGGACAUCUGAAUAACACCAAAGGUUUACCGCUAUGGGAUGGGGAUGCGUCUGAUUAGCUUGUCGGCGGGUAACGGCCCACCGAGGCAACGAUCAGUAGGGGUCUGAGAGGAAGGUCCCCCACAUUGGUACUGAGACACGGACCAAACUCCUACGGGAGGCAGCAGUGAGGAAUAUUGGUCAAUGGGCGCGAGCCUGAACCAGCCUUAAGUAGCGUGCAAGGAUGACUGCCCUAUGGGUUGUAAACUGCUUUUAUGCGGGAAUAAAGUCAGGUACGUGUACCUGUUUGUAUGUACCGCAUGAAUAAGGACCGGCUAAUUCCGUGCCAGCAGCCGC
RNAcentral lists this ribosomal RNA (498 nucleotides) under uncultured bacterium. RNAcentral's name for it is "bacterial SSU rRNA". It matches the Rfam family "Bacterial small subunit ribosomal RNA", at positions 26 to 518 of the family's 1533-position model. The record is from RNAcentral.